RNAcentral lists this ribosomal RNA (253 nucleotides) under uncultured bacterium. RNAcentral describes it as "partial 16S ribosomal RNA". It matches the Rfam family "Bacterial small subunit ribosomal RNA", at positions 524 to 776 of the family's 1533-position model. The record is from RNAcentral.
UACGUAGGGGGCUAGCGUUGUCCGGAAUCAUUGGGCGUAAAGCGCGCGUAGGCGGCCCGGUAAGUCCGCUGUGAAAGUCCAGGGCUCAACCCUGGAAAGCCGGUGGAUACUGCCGGGCUAGAGUCCGGGAGAGGCGAGUGGAAUUCCUGGUGUAGCGGUGGAAUGCGCAGAUAUCGGGAGGAACACCAAUGGCGAAGGCAGCUCGCUGGGACGGUACUGACGCUGAGACGCGAAAGCGUGGGGAGCGAACAGG